AUUGAACGCUAGCGGGAUGCCUUACACAUGCAAGUAGAACGGAGUGGCGAACGGGUGAGUAAUGUAUCGGAAUGUGCCCCGUACAGGGGGAUAACUACGCGAAAGCGUAGCUAAUACCGCAUACUCUUGGAGCGGCCGAUAUCGGAUUAGCUAGUUGGUGGGGUAACGGCUCACCAAGGCGACGAUCCGUAGCUGGUUUGAGUGGACGACCAGCCACACGGGAACGGAGACAAGGCCCAGACUCCUACGGGAGGCAGCAGUGGGGAAUGUUGGACAAUGGGGGAAACCCUGAUCCAGCCAUCCCGCGUGUGCGAUGAAGGCCUUCGGGUUGUAAAGCACUUUUGGCAGGGAAGCGGUACCUGCAGAAUAAGCACCGGCUAACUACGUGCCAGCAGCCGCGGUAAUAC
Molecule: ribosomal RNA, 407 nt
Filed under: uncultured bacterium
Lineage: Bacteria
Description: partial 16S ribosomal RNA
Rfam family: Bacterial small subunit ribosomal RNA
Source: RNAcentral